UGCUUCCAUCUGGAAGAAUCUGGAGACAGGUGCUGCAUGGCUGUCGUCAGCUCGUGUCGUGAGAUGUUGGGUUAAGUCCCGCAACGAGCGCAACCCUUGCCUUUAGUUGCCAGCAGUUCGGCUGGGCACUCUAAAGGGACUGUCGGUGUUAAACCGGAGGAAGGUGGGGAUGACGUCAAGUCCUCAUGGCCUUUAUGACCAGGGCUACACACGUACUACAAUGGCCGAUACAAAGGGCAGCGACACUGCGAGGUGAAGCCAAUCCCGUAAAAUCGGUCUCAGUCCGGAUUGGAGUCUGCAACUCGACUCCAUGAAGUUGGAAUCGCUAGUAAUCGUGGAUCAGCAUGCCACGGUGAAUACGUUCCCGGGCCUU
Molecule: ribosomal RNA, 373 nt
Filed under: uncultured Desulfobulbus sp.
Lineage: Bacteria; Pseudomonadati; Thermodesulfobacteriota; Desulfobulbia; Desulfobulbales; Desulfobulbaceae
Description: bacterial SSU rRNA
Rfam family: Bacterial small subunit ribosomal RNA
Source: RNAcentral